CAGGACACUAUGGCUCCUCUGGAAAUGUGGUACAGAAAGGAAGCAAGAAGAGGUAUCUGCUGAUGUUACGGAGUUGGAGGAGCUUUUCAUACUGUGAUUACUCUAUUGGACAUCCUUAUACGG
RNAcentral lists this ribosomal RNA (123 nucleotides) under uncultured Synechococcus sp. Its description in RNAcentral is "partial 23S ribosomal RNA". Lineage: Bacteria; Bacillati; Cyanobacteriota; Cyanophyceae; Synechococcales; Synechococcaceae. The record is from RNAcentral.